This is a non-coding RNA of Ailuropoda melanoleuca (giant panda), 225 nucleotides long. Ensembl annotates it as small Cajal body-specific RNA 6. The record is from Ensembl. NCBI's taxonomy places the organism in Eukaryota, Metazoa, Chordata, Mammalia, Carnivora, Ursidae.
AGUCCAUGGUGAGUAGUGAAAGGUCUGACUCCCAGGGUCCCCUCCCCGUACCCUUUGCAUCCCACUGGGCUCCAGGAGUGCCGUGAUGGGCAGAAGGGCAUCUGGUGCUGGGCAAGGCCCCAGUGCUGUGCUCCUUGGCCAGCACCCCACAGCUAGCCACAGAGCGGUUUGAUUGUUGGGAGUGCUGGUAUCUGUGGUUAUGGUCUGACAUUUCAAGCUGAGACC